This 1041-nucleotide ribosomal RNA is filed under the name Leptocylindrus danicus. Its description in RNAcentral is "partial Bacterial large subunit ribosomal RNA". It matches the Rfam family "Bacterial large subunit ribosomal RNA", at positions 77 to 1131 of the family's 2925-position model. Lineage: Eukaryota; Bacillariophyta; Leptocylindrophyceae; Leptocylindrales; Leptocylindraceae. The record is from RNAcentral.
UACAACGAGUAUUUAAAAAUGCUGAGAGUUGUAAGUGUCCGUAUCGGUAAACCGAUCUUUAUAAAAUUAAGAAUUUAUAUAUAAUACUUGUUUAUUAACAAGAUUAUUAUAUUUAAGUAAGUUUUAGUGAAUUGAACCAUCUAAGUAACUAAAAAAAAAAUCAACCGAGAUAAUGUAAGUAGUGGCGAACGAAAACAUUUAAUAGACUUUUUAAACUAUAUUUAAAUAUAUUUGAAUAUAUUAAAGAACGCCAUAGAAGGUAUAAACGUGAUAGCCCUGUAAAAUAUAUAUGUUUGUGAAAAUAGUUUAAAUAUUUAAAGUAAAAUAAAACACGCAAGUUUUGUUUGAAUACUGGGGUACCACCCUCAAAGUCUAAAAGUAAAAUUUGAUGAUUUAUAGCAAAAAAGUACCGUAAGGGAAAGGUGAAAAAGAAUUUUAGAAUUUGAAAUAGAACCUGAAACUUAACGCUGACAAUCAGUUGAAGCUUUAUAAAAGUAACAACGUGCCUGUUGUAUAAUGAAUCAACGAGUUUAUUUUAGUGGCAAGCUUAAAUUGAAUUUAAAUGUAGGCGUAAAGAAAUUGAAUUUAAAAUUAUGUAAAAGUCUCUGAAAUAAAACCCGAAACUAAGUGAGCUAACCAUGAACAGGUUGAAAAUUUUAGCGGUAACGCUUGUUGGAAGACCGAACCCGUGUCUGUGGAAAAAUACUGGGAUGAUUUGUGGUUAGGGGUGAAAGGCCAAUCAAACUUAGAGAUAGCUGGUUUUCUGCGAAAUCUAUUUAAGUAGAGCGUUUAAAUAACUGUAUAAUAGGGUAGAGCACUCAAUAAACUAGGGGGGCUUAACGCUUUACUGAAUUUAAUGAAACUCCGAAUAUAAUAUAUAAGAAUUUAAGCAGACAGACUAUGGGUGCUAAGAUCCAUAUGUCAAGAGGGAAACAGCCCAGACUACACGUUAAGGUCCCUAAAAAUAAUUAAGUGAGAAAGAUUAUAAAAAAAUUUAAACAACCGGUAGGUAGGCUUGGAAGCAGCCAUCCUUUAAAGAAA